AGGAAAAGAAACCAACAGGGAUUGCCUCAGUAACGGCGAGUGAAGCGGCAAAAGCUCAAAUUUUAAAGCUGGCACCUUCGGUGUCCGCGUUGUAAUUUUGUGAGGCAUCUCCGGGUAGGGCGCCGGCCUAAGUUCCUUGGAACAGGACGUCAUAGAGGGUGAGAAUCCCGUGCUUGGCUGGCUGUCCCCGUCCAUGUGAGGUGUCUUCGACGAGUCGAGUUGUUUGGGAAUGCAGCUCAAAAUGGGUGGUAAAUUUCAUCUAAAGCUAAAUAUUGGUGGGAGACCGAUAGCGCACAAGUAGAGUGAUCGAAAGAUGAAAAGCACUUUGAAAAUAGAGUUAAAAAGUACGUGAAAUUGUUGAAAGGGAAGCGCUUGAGACCAGACUUCGGUGGGGAGUGAUCAGCUGUCCUUCUGGGCGGUGCACUUGCUCCCCUCCGGGCCAGCAUCGGUUGGGACGGCGGGAUAAAGGUCCCGGGAAUGUGGCUCCUCUCGGGGAGUGUUAUAGCCCGGGUGAAUGCCGCCAGCCCCGACCGAGGACCGCGCCUUCGGGCUAGGAUGCUUGGCAUAAUGGUCUUCAGCGACCCGUCUUGAAACACGGACCAAGGAGUCUAACAUCUAUGCGAGUGUUUGGGUGUCAAACCCUUACGCGAAAUGAAAGUGAACGGAGGUGGGAACCCGCAAGGGUGCACCAUCGACCGGUCCCGAAGUCUUCUGAAGGAUCUGAGUAGGAGCAUAGCUGUUGGGACCCGAAAGAUGGUGAACUAUGCCUGAAUAGGGUGAAGCCAGAGGAAACUCUGGUGGAGGCUCGCAGCGGUUCUGACGUGCAAAUCGAUCGUCAAAUUUGGGUAUAGGGGCG
RNAcentral lists this ribosomal RNA (856 nucleotides) under Morchella sp. Mes-9. RNAcentral describes it as "partial large subunit ribosomal RNA". It matches the Rfam family "Eukaryotic large subunit ribosomal RNA", at positions 54 to 925 of the family's 3401-position model. Lineage: Eukaryota; Fungi; Ascomycota; Pezizomycetes; Pezizales; Morchellaceae. The record is from RNAcentral.